Molecule: unclassified non-coding RNA, 236 nt
Filed under: Glomus sp.
Lineage: Eukaryota; Fungi; Glomeromycota; Glomeromycetes; Glomerales; Glomeraceae
Description: partial contains 5.8S ribosomal RNA and internal transcribed spacer 2
Rfam family: 5.8S ribosomal RNA (bases 1-72)
Source: RNAcentral
GUGAAUCAUCGAAUCUUUGAACGCAAAUUGCACUCUCCGGUUUUCCGGGGGAGUAUGCCUGUCUGGGAGUCAUCCUAAAUAAAAUCGGCUUAGUAUUUUUCUGUUUGUUUCACGGUAACGUUGAUCGCAAUUUUGUUCUUCUUAAACCGAAAGGUUUUUAAGCGACUUAAAAUUUUCUUACGAUCUCUCGAACGUUUUUAACAUUUUCUUUCACGUUCAAUAUAUCGAUAUUAGAC